UUGAUGUUCUAACGUUGACCCGUAAUCCGGGUUGCGGACAGUGUCUGGUGGGUAGUUUGACUGGGGCGGUCUCCUCCUAAAGAGUAACGGAGGAGCACGAAGGUUGGCUAAUCCUGGUCGGACAUCAGGAGGUUAGUGCAAUGGCAUAAGCCAGCUUGACUGCGAGCGUGACGGCGCGAGCAGGUGCGAAAGCAGGUCAUAGUGAUCCGGUGGUUCUGAAUGGAAGGGCCAUCGCUCAACGGAUAAAAGGUACUCCGGGGAUAACAGGCUGAUACCGCCCAAGAGUUCAUAUCGACGGCGGUGUUUGGCACCUCGAUGUCGGCUCAUCACAUCCUGGGGCUGAAGUAGGUCCCAAGGGUAUGGCUGUUCGCCAUUUAAAGUGGUACGCGAGCUGGGUUUAGAACGUCGUGAGACAGUUCGGUCCCUAUCUGCCGUGGGCGCUGGAGAACUGAGGGGGGCUGCUCCUAGUACGAGAGGACCGGAGUGGACGCAUCACUGGUGUUCGGGUUGUCAUGCCAAUGGCACUGCCCGGUAGCUAAAUGCGGAAGAGAUAAGUGCUGAAAGCAUCUAAGCACGAAACUUGCCCCGAGAUGAGUUCUCCCUGACUCCUUGAGAGUCCUGAAGGAACGUUGAAGACGA
RNAcentral lists this ribosomal RNA (639 nucleotides) under Escherichia coli. RNAcentral's name for it is "partial 23S ribosomal RNA". It matches the Rfam family "Bacterial large subunit ribosomal RNA", at positions 2214 to 2847 of the family's 2925-position model. The record is from RNAcentral. Lineage: Bacteria; Pseudomonadati; Pseudomonadota; Gammaproteobacteria; Enterobacterales; Enterobacteriaceae.